This 1470-nucleotide ribosomal RNA is filed under the name Shigella sonnei. Its description in RNAcentral is "partial 23S ribosomal RNA". It matches the Rfam family "Bacterial large subunit ribosomal RNA", at positions 1233 to 2687 of the family's 2925-position model. The record is from RNAcentral. Lineage: Bacteria; Pseudomonadati; Pseudomonadota; Gammaproteobacteria; Enterobacterales; Enterobacteriaceae.
GGAGCGUUCUGUAAGCCUGCGAAGGUGUGCUGUGAGGCAUGCUGGAGGUAUCAGAAGUGCGAAUGCUGACAUAAGUAACGAUAAAGCGGGUGAAAAGCCCGCUCGCCGGAAGACCAAGGGUUCCUGUCCAACGUUAAUCGGGGCAGGGUGAGUCGACCCCUAAGGCGAGGCCGAAAGGCGUAGUCGAUGGGAAACAGGUUAAUAUUCCUGUACUUGGUGUUACUGCGAAGGGGGGACGGAGAAGGCUAUGUUGGCCGGGCGACGGUUGUCCCGGUUUAAGCGUGUAGGCUGGUUUUCCAGGCAAAUCCGGAAAAUCAAGGCUGAGGCGUGAUGACGAGGCACUACGGUGCUGAAGCAACAAAUGCCCUGCUUCCAGGAAAAGCCUCUAAGCAUCAGGUAACAUCAAAUCGUACCCCAAACCGACACAGGUGGUCAGGUAGAGAAUACCAAGGCGCUUGAGAGAACUCGGGUGAAGGAACUAGGCAAAAUGGUGCCGUAACUUCGGGAGAAGGCACGCUGAUAUGUAGGUGAAGUCCCUUGCGGAUGGAGCUGAAAUCAGUCGAAGAUACCAGCUGGCUGCAACUGUUUAUUAAAAACACAGCACUGUGCAAACACGAAAGUGGACGUAUACGGUGUGACGCCUGCCCGGUGCCGGAAGGUUAAUUGAUGGGGUCAGCGCAAGCGAAGCUCUUGAUCGAAGCCCCGGUAAACGGCGGCCGUAACUAUAACGGUCCUAAGGUAGCGAAAUUCCUUGUCGGGUAAGUUCCGACCUGCACGAAUGGCGUAAUGAUGGCCAGGCUGUCUCCACCCGAGACUCAGUGAAAUUGAACUCGCUGUGAAGAUGCAGUGUACCCGCGGCAAGACGGAAAGACCCCGUGAACCUUUACUAUAGCUUGACACUGAACAUUGAGCCUUGAUGUGUAGGAUAGGUGGGAGGCUUUGAAGUGUGGACGCCAGUCUGCAUGGAGCCGGCCUUGAAAUACCACCCUUUAAUGUUUGAUGUUCUAACGUGGACCCGUGAUCCGGGUUGCGGACAGUGUCUGGUGGGUAGUUUGACUGGGGCGGUCUCCUCCUAAAGAGUAACGGAGGAGCACGAAGGUUGGCUAAUCCUGGUCGGACAUCAGGAGGUUAGUGCAAUGGCAUAAGCCAGCUUGACUGCGAGCGUGACGGCGCGAGCAGGUGCGAAAGCAGGUCAUAGUGAUCCGGUGGUUCUGAAUGGAAGGGCCAUCGCUCAACGGAUAAAAGGUACUCCGGGGAUAACAGGCUGAUACCGCCCAAGAGUUCAUAUCGACGGCGGUGUUUGGCACCUCGAUGUCGGCUCAUCACAUCCUGGGGCUGAAGUAGGUCCCAAGGGUAUGGCUGUUCGCCAUUUAAAGUGGUACGCGAGCUGGGUUUAGAACGUCGUGAGACAGUUCGGUCCCUAUCUGCCGUGGGCGCUGGAGAACUGAGGGGGGCUGCUCCUAGUACGAG